UACGUAGGGGGCAAGCGUUGUCCGGAAUCAUUGGGCGUAAAGAGCGUGUAGGCGGCCAGAAAAGUCCGCUGUGAAAACUCGAGGCUCAACCUCGAGCUGUCGGCGGAAACCAUCUGGCUAGAGUCCGGAAGAGGAGAGUGGAAUUCCUGGUGUAGCGGUGAAAUGCGCAGAUAUCAGGAAGAACACCUAUGGCGAAGGCAGCUCUCUGGGACGGUACUGACGCUGAGACGCGAAAGCGUGGGGAGCGAACAGG
RNAcentral lists this ribosomal RNA (253 nucleotides) under uncultured bacterium. RNAcentral describes it as "partial 16S ribosomal RNA". It matches the Rfam family "Bacterial small subunit ribosomal RNA", at positions 524 to 776 of the family's 1533-position model. The record is from RNAcentral.